RNAcentral lists this ribosomal RNA (222 nucleotides) under uncultured bacterium. RNAcentral's name for it is "partial 16S ribosomal RNA". It matches the Rfam family "Bacterial small subunit ribosomal RNA", at positions 109 to 334 of the family's 1533-position model. The record is from RNAcentral.
AGUAAUGUAUGGGGAUCUGCCCGAUAGAGGGGGAUAACUACUGGAAACGGUGGCUAAUACCGCAUAAUGUCUACGGACCAAAGCAGGGGCUCUUCGGACCUUGCACUAUCGGAUGAACCCAUAUGGGAUUAGCUAGUAGGUGGGGUAAAGGCUCACCUAGGCGACGAUCUCUAGCUGGUCUGAGAGGAUGAUCCGCCACACUGGGACUGAGACACGGCCCAG